RNAcentral lists this non-coding RNA (24 nucleotides) under Arabidopsis thaliana (thale cress). The record is from RNAcentral. Lineage: Eukaryota; Viridiplantae; Streptophyta; Magnoliopsida; Brassicales; Brassicaceae.
ACACAUUUGAAGAACGGAUAUGGU